CGGUCCCAAGGUGCUUGAAAACCCUCCUGUCCCUCAGAAACAAAAUGUUCCACCACCAUCAAACCCUCAGGUCUAUGUGCCUCCUCCUCAGAACCCUCAAGUUUACCAACCGCCUCAGGACCCACAAAAGACCUACACUGGCUAUGGUACCGGUCCCAAGGUGCCUGAAAACCCUCCUGUCCCUCAGAAACAAAAUGUUCCACCACCAUCAAACCCUCAGGUCUAUGUGCCUCCUCCUCAGAACCCUCAAGUUUACCAACCGCCUCAGGACCCACAAAGGACCUACACUGGCUAUGGUACCGGUCACAAGGUGCCUGAAAACCCUCCUGUCCCUCAGAAACAAAAUGUUCCACCACCAUCAAACCCUCAGGUCUAUGUGCCUCCUCCUCAGAACCCUCAAGUUUACCAACCGCCUCAGGACCCACAAAAGACCUACACUGGCUAUGGUACCGGUCCCAAGGUGCCUGAAAACCCUCCUGUCCCUCAGAAACAAAAUGUUCCACCACCAUCAAACCCUCAGGUCUAUGUGCCUCCUCCUCAGAA
Molecule: long non-coding RNA, 543 nt
Organism: Melanotaenia boesemani (Boeseman's rainbowfish)
Lineage: Eukaryota; Metazoa; Chordata; Actinopteri; Atheriniformes; Melanotaeniidae
Exons: 2
Source: RefSeq, a predicted model, not a curated record